RNAcentral lists this ribosomal RNA (253 nucleotides) under uncultured prokaryote. Its description in RNAcentral is "partial 16S ribosomal RNA". It matches the Rfam family "Bacterial small subunit ribosomal RNA", at positions 525 to 777 of the family's 1533-position model. The record is from RNAcentral.
ACGUAGGGUGCAAGCGUUAAUCGGAAUUACUGGGCGUAAAGCGUGCGCAGGCGGUUUUGUAAGUCAGAUGUGAAAUCCCCGGGCUUAACCUGGGAACUGCGUUUGAAACUACAAGGCUAGAGUGUGGCAGAGGGGGGUGGAAUUCCACGUGUAGCAGUGAAAUGCGUAGAUAUCUGGAGGAACACCGGUGGCGAAGGCGGCAUCCUGGACCAACACUGACGCUGAGGAGCGAAAGCCAGGGGAGCAAACGGGA